Oncorhynchus keta (chum salmon) is the source of this 1283-nucleotide long non-coding RNA. RefSeq lists it as uncharacterized. The record is from RefSeq and is a predicted model, not a curated record. Lineage: Eukaryota; Metazoa; Chordata; Actinopteri; Salmoniformes; Salmonidae. The transcript is spliced from 4 exons.
AGUCCUGUGGGUCCUGAAAGGUGUUGGGUCCACCACUAUGGACCAGAGUCCUGUGGGUCCUGAAAGGUGUUGGGUCCACCACUAUGGACCAGAGUCCUGUGGGCCCUGAAAGGUGUUGGGUGUACCAUUAUAGACCAGAGUCCUGUGGGUCCUGAAAGGUGUUUGGUGCACCACUAUGGACCAGAGUCCUGUGGGUCCUGAAAGGUGUUGGGUCCACCACUAUGGACCAGAGUCCUGUGGGUCCUGAAAGGUGUUGGGUCCACCAAUAUGGACCAGAGUCCUGUGGGUCCUGAAAGGUGUUGGGUCCACCAAUAUGGACCAGAGUCCUGUGGGUCCUGAAAGGUGUUGGGUGUACCAUUAUGUACCAGAGUCCUGUGGGUCCUGAAAGGUGUUGGGUCCACCAAUAUGGACCAGAGUCCUGUGGGUCCUGAAAGGUGUUGGGUCCACCACUAUGGACCAGAGUCCUGUGGGCCCUGAAAGGUGUUGGGUCCACCACUAUGGACCAGAGUCCUGUGGGUCCUGAAAGGUGUUGGGUGUACCAUUAUGGACCAGAGUCCUGUGGGUCCUGAAAGGUGUUGGGUCCACCACUAUGGACCAGAGUCCUGUGGGUCCUGAAAGGUGUUGGGUCCACCACUAUGGACCAGAGUCCUGUGGGUCCUGAAAGGUGUUUGUGGGUCCUGAAAGGUGUUGGGUCCACCACUAUGGACCAGAGUCCUGUGGGUCCUGAAAGGUGUUUGUGGGUCCUGAAAGGUGUUGGGUGUACCAUUAUGGACCAGAGUCCUGUGGGCCCUGAAAGGUGUUGGGUGUACCAAUAUGGACCAGAGUCCUGUGGGCCCUGAAAGGUGUUUGUGGGUCCUGAAAGGUGUUGGGUCCACCAUUAUGGACCAGAGUCCUGUGGGUCCUGAAAGGUGUUGGGUCCACCACUAUGGACCAGAGUCCUGAGGGUCCUGAAAGGUUUGGGUCCACCACUAUGGACCAGAGUCCUGUGGGUCCUGAAAGGUGUUGGGUCCACCACUAUGGACCAGAGUCCUGAGGGUCCUGAAAGGUUUUGGGUGUACCAUUAUGGACCAGAGUCCUGUGGGUCCUGAAAGGUGUUGGGUCCACCACUAUGGACCAGAGUCCUGUGGGUCCUGAAAGGUGUUGGGUGUACCACUAUGGACCAGAGUCCUGUGGGUCCUGAAAGGUGUUGGGUCCACCACUAUGGACCAGAGUCCUGUGGGUCCUGAAAGGUGUUGGGUCCACCAUUAUGGACCAGAGUCCUGUGGGUCCUGAAAGGUUUUGGG